AGUGAACGCUGGCGGUAGGCCUAACACAUGCAAGUCGAACGGCAGCACAGUAAGAGCUUGCUCUUACGGGUGGCGAGUGGCGGACGGGUGAGGAAUACAUCGGAAUCUACUUUUUCGUGGGGGAUAACGUAGGGAAACUUACGCUAAUACCGCAUACGACCUACGGGUGAAAGCAGGGGAUCUUCGGACCUUGCGCGAUUGAAUGAGCCGAUGUCGGAUUAGCUAGUUGGCGGGGUAAAGGCCCACCAAGGCGACGAUCCGUAUCUGGUCUGAGAGGAUGAUCAGCCACAUUGGAACUGAGACACGGUCCAGACUCCUACGGGAGGCAGCAGUGGGGAAUAUUGGACAAUGGGCGCAAGCCUGAUCCAGCCAUACCGCGUGGGUGAAGAAGGCCUUCGGGUUGUAAAGCCCUUUUGUUGGGAAAGAAAAGCAGCAGGUUAAUACCCCGCUGUUAUGACGGUACCCAAAGAAUAAGCACCGGCUAACUUCGUG
Molecule: ribosomal RNA, 492 nt
Filed under: uncultured bacterium
Lineage: Bacteria
Description: partial 16S ribosomal RNA
Rfam family: Bacterial small subunit ribosomal RNA
Source: RNAcentral